UAAAGCGUGCGCAGGCGGUUAUAUAAGACAGAUGUGAAAUCCCGGGCUCAACCUGGGAACUGCAUUUGUGACUGUAUAGCUGGAGUGCGGCAGAGGGGGAUGGAAUUCCGCGUGUAGCAGUGAAAUGCGUAGAUAUGCGGAGGAACACCGAUGGCGAAGGCAAUCCCCUGGGCCUGCACUGACGCUCAUGCACGAAAGCGUGGGGAGCAAACAGGAUUAGAUACCCUUGU
This 230-nucleotide ribosomal RNA is filed under the name uncultured bacterium. RNAcentral's name for it is "partial 16S ribosomal RNA". It matches the Rfam family "Bacterial small subunit ribosomal RNA", at positions 561 to 791 of the family's 1533-position model. The record is from RNAcentral.